GCUUAAUGCCAAUACAUAAAUCAAGCUUCUAGCUUGUCAAGACAGUAGGUUAACCAAAACUAUACCUACUACCACUAAGUUUCCUAGUAAAUUGGAAUGAUAACUUGUGCAAAUGAAUAAAGCUGGUAAACAGCUCAAUCACCAUCAAGUUUACAUCAAAUAUCAUCUUAUCAUAGUUCAAAAUGAACUAGAUUACAUUACAUAAACAAAAAAUUCAAAUGAAACUAAACAUCCUUGCUUUCUCGUGCAAACUGCUGCUUCUGCAUGGUGGUCUUCAAUGCUGCAUGCUAACCACCUUUCAACACUCCUCCUUGGUUAGCAUGUUGCUAACUCCCAUCUUCAUUCUUAAGCUUUGAAACCUUGAAACAUUAAGAGGUUUUGUUAAAAUAUCAGCUAAUUGUUCAUCAGAACUGCAAUGAACCAGUUUCACUUCAUGAGCUUGUUGCAUUUCUCGAACUGCAUGAAGCUUAAUGUUAAAAUGUUUUGUCCUCCCAUGAAAAAUAAGGUUCUUUGCAAUUGCAACAGCCGAUUGAUUGUCACACAUUAUCUCUGUUGCUUCCUCUUGUUCAAGGUUGAGAUCGACUAGAAUUUUUCUAAGCCAAAUGGCUUGAUUGACUGUUGCAGCAGCUGCUACAUAUUCUGCUUCUGCGGUAGAUUGAGCCACCAGUGCUUGUUUCUUUGAACUCCAACAAAAUACUGCUGAGCCAAGAUUGAAAAAAUAGCCUGAAGUGCUUUUCAUAUCGUCCACUGAGCCUGCCCAAUCACUGUCACUGUAACCAAUCAAAUUUGAAUGCUUGGCCUUGGUAUACAACAUUCCAUAGCUCAGGGUUCCCUUAAUGUACCUGAGAAUUCUCUUGCCUACUUUAAAAUGACUUUCAUUGCAGCAAUGCAUGAAUCUCGAGAGUAAGCUCACAGCAUACAUUAUGUCUGGUCUAGUGGCAGUAAGAUAUAACAAACAACCAAUCAGACUUCUGUAAGUUGUCUCACACACUGGUUCAAAAAUCCCUUGACUCGAUAGCUUUCCUCCAACAGCUAUUGGUGUGUUGGUAGCUUUGCAAUUCUCCGUUAAGAAUUUUCUGAGAAUCUUCAUAGCAAAAGUCUUCUGACUUAGCCAAAUUCCUUUCUCAGCUUGCGUUACUUCCAUGCCUAAGAAGUAGGACAUCAACCCAAGAUCUGACAUCUCAAAAUGCUGUUGCAUUUUGGCUUUAAAACUGACCAGCAUAUCUUGAUCUCCUCCUGUCACCAAUAGGUCAUCGACAUAUAAUGAGACAAUGAGCUGAGUUUCUACCUUGGUCUUUUUGACAUACAGAGUUGGCUCGCUAAUACUCUUCUCAAAUCCCACACUGAUCAAAUAGCUGUCAAUCUUGCUAUACUGGGCUCUUGGAGCCUGUUUCAAGCCAUACAAGGCUUUGUUCAGCUUAUAUACCAUAUCUUCUCUACCAGUCACUUCAAAACCUUGAGGUUGUUCCACAUAAAUCUCUUCUUCAAGGGAUCCAUUUAGAAAUGCUGACUUUACAUCAAGCUGAUGUAUCUUCCACUCCCUUUGUGCUGCUAAUGCCACUACCAAUCUGAUGGUGUCAAGCCUGGCCACUGGUGCAAAAGUUUCCAGGUAGUCUAAUCCAUACCUUUGACUAAAGCCUUUGACAACUAACCUUGCCUUUAAUCUGUUUAAGCUUCCAUCAGCAUUCUGCUUGACUCGAUAAACCCAUUUAACUCCAAUGAUUUUCCUGUUUGCUGGCCUUUCAACUAGAUUCCAAGUUUGAUUCUUUUCUAUCAUGCUGAUCUCUUCUAUCAUUGCUUGCUUCCAGCCUUGUUGACUUUCUGCCUCUUCAAAACAACUUGGUUCUACCAUGGCUACUUGAGCUCUUUCAUAAACAUCAGCCAAUGAUCGAGUUCCUCUGAUUGGUUCAUCAUCCACAUCCAUUUCAAAUGUGUCUUGAUUAGUUCCAACUUGAUCAGAUGCAAGUUCUUCAGUUACAGCCUCUGGUUCAUUUUUAUCCCAGUUCCAGCAUGCCUUCUCAUUGAACACAACAUCUCUACUCACAAGGAUCUUAUUUGUAGAAGGUUCCAGCAUUCUAUAGCCCUUUUUAACUGCACUGUAGCCUAUCAGAAUCCCUGCUUGAGUUCUUUUAUCCAGCUUUCCUCUUUUCACAGCUGGAACUUGUGCAUAACAUAUGCAACCAAAGGUUCUGAGAUGAGCCAGUGAUGGUUUGAACCCAAACCAAGCUUCAAAUGGAGUUUUCUGAGCUAGGGCUUUAGUUGGAAGUCUAUUUUGAAGAUAGACUGCAGUGUUUACUGCUUCAGCCCACAGGGUUUUAGGCAGAUUUUUCUCAAACAGGAGGCACCUUGCCAUGUUCAUCAAACUUCUAUUUUUUCUUUCACUGACCCCAUUUUGUUGAGGUGUAUACACAUUGGUCAGUUGGUGUUUAAUGUCUGCAUUCUUACAAUAGAGUUGAAACUGAGCUGAGGUAUACUCAGUUCCAUUAUCUGACCUUAGUGUCUUAAGUUUGUGGCCAAUUUCAGUUUCAACAGCAGCUUUGAACUUCAAAAACACAUGAGCAACUUCUGAUUUUUGUUUCAUAAAGUAAAUCCAACAAUAUCUUGUAUGAUCAUCUAUGAAAAGAAUAAAGUACCUGUUCCCAUUGAGAGAUUUGGUCUUCAUUGGUCCACACACAUCAGUGUGUACAAGCUGCAGCUUCUCUGAUGCUCUCCAUGCUGUGUUUGCAGGAAAUGGCAAUCUUGCUUGUUUUCCUUGCUGGCACACUUCACAAAUUUCAUCAUUCUUCACGGUUUUGAUGAAGUUUUCAGCUAAUUCUUCAUUAAUCAUCUGAGCCAUUGAUUUGAAGUUAACAUGUCCAAGCCUUUGGUGCCAUAGCUUGGAGUCAUCAAUGGAGGCAAUAUAGGCUGAAUGUGAGUCAUCUGGCCAUUCCACUUCAAAACACUUGUCAGUCAUGGUGACUGUCAUGAAAUUUGAUCCAUUUGGAUCAAAAAUUUGGCAUUCUUUCUGCUUAAACACAACUGAGUAUCCUUUCUCUAGAAGUUGAGCUAUGUUGAGAAGAUUUCUGUCAAUCUCAGGUACUAAUAGCACAUUCGAGAUGACUUUGAUACCUGUAGGAGUGUAUAUCUGCACAUCCCCUUUUCCUUCAGCCUUUAUAAACUGACCAUUUCCAAUUUUUACUUUGGUUUUACAGGUUCUGUCCAAAGUUUUGAAAAUGGUUGCAUCUGGUGACAUGUGGUUUGUGCAUCCACUGUCCAGCAACCAACCUUUUGAGCAUUUCUUCUCAGCAGCUAAGCAAGAAAUAGCAAAGACCUGCUCUUCUUGAUCACUGCUGUCUUCAGCUACUCGAGCUUUAACCUUUGGUUGUUGAAAUUGACUCUGCCUUGGCUUGGUUCUAUUUUUGCAAACCCUUUCAACAUGGCCCUUCUUCUUGCAGUGUUGGCAUACUGCAUCUGGUCUGAACCAGCAUCUGUCUUCUGGAUGACCUGGCCUCUUGCAAUGUCUGCAGGGCUGGUCAUUGCUCCUUGCAGCAUCAUUCUUUGGCUUGUCUCUCCAGGCCUUCUUGCCUUUGUAGGCAGUAUUUGUUCUUGCCUGAAAGGCACCUUCUUGGUGCUCCUCUAGUCUGCUUACUCUCCUCUGCUCUUGAGCAUAUAGAGCAUUGAUCAACUCUGUCAGGGAGAUGGUGGAUAGGUCCCUUGAGUCUUCGAGAGAUGAGAUUUUUGCCUCAUACCUCUCAGGCAGAGUUGCUAUAACCUUCUCCACUAUCCUAGCUUCAUUGAACUGCUCUCCAAGGAGCCUUAUGCUGUUUACAACAGCCAUAAUUCUGUCUGAAUACUGCUUGACUGUUUCUUCUUCUUUCAUCUUGAGAUUUUCAAAGUCCCUUCUCAAGUUGAGAAGCUGUUGUUGCCUUGUUCUCUCAGUCCCUUGAAACUCUUCUUUCAGCUUGUCCCAAGCCUCCUUUGGUGUUUCACAAGCCAUUAUUCUUGUGAAAAUCACAUCUGAAACACAGUUUUGUAUGCAUGACAUGGCCUUGUGCCUUUUUGUUCUUUCAUCAGCAUGUUGCCUCAUUUGAGCAACUGUUGGAUUUGCUCUGAGAGGUGCUGGCUCUGCAUCUGAAUUGACUACCUCCCAUAGGUCGAAUGCCUGCAGGUAAGUCUUCAUUUUGACUACCCAAAUAUGGAAUCCUUCUCCAUUGAAGACAGGUGGUGCAUCUGGUGAAAAUCCUGAAGAGGCCAUCAGGUUCCUUGGUUUGAAACAACAGGUCCACUAAGACAAGGGCUCUAGAUACCAAUUGUUGGAGCUGAGAGCAACUAACAACAAGUUUCAGCCUAUUGCUUGAGCAGCAAGUGUCGUGACUUGCAGCAGAAACAAGCAGAAAACUAAAAAGAAUAAAGCAAGAAGAAUAGAGAGAGUUUUUGAAUGAAAACUUGAUUAAAUUCAUUCAUCAAAAAAUGGCUUAAUGCCAAUACAUAAAUCAAGCUUCUAGCUUGUCAAGACAGUAGGUUAACCAAAACUAUACCUACUACCACUAAGUUUCCUAGUAAAUUGGAAUGAUAACUUGUGCAAAUGAAUAAAGCUGGUAAACAGCUCAAGCACCAUCAAGUUUACAUCAAAUAUCAUCUUAUCAUAGUUCAAAAUGAACUAGAUUACAUUACAUAAACAAAAAAUUCAAAUGAAACUAAACAUCCUUGCUUUCUCGUGCAAACUGCUGCUUCUGCAUGGUGGUCUUCAAUGCUGCAUGCUAACCACCUUUCAACA
RNAcentral lists this long non-coding RNA (4756 nucleotides) under Gossypium barbadense (sea-island cotton). Its description in RNAcentral is "long non-coding RNA (GBAR_LNC022958)". Lineage: Eukaryota; Viridiplantae; Streptophyta; Magnoliopsida; Malvales; Malvaceae. The record is from RNAcentral.